AGAGAUGACCAGUGAGUACUUUGUAAUUCUCUGAUAUGAUUGGUUCUUGUCUCUAAGUGCAUUAGAACAGAAACCAAUCACAGUAAAGAAUCAUUGUGCGCGCACUGUGCUCGUCCGCUCCGUCUGUUGAACGCGCGCGUUUACGCGUUAUCGACCUUGAUCAAGUUUGCCGGGCAGUUUAGCAUCCUCUUAAAGGGUCAAAACACAAAAGAUGCACGAAAGUGCGAUCAAAAGCAAUAGCAUCGUCGUCGCGGAUGCAUCGGUAGCAUCUGUGCCGCGUGAAAUUAGCCGCGCGAUCGUCAACUCGCUGCUCGACUCGUCGACUCGUCGGUUGGGCCGAUCCACUUCGUCACUUAGCACUUUGCGUAUGCGUCGUAGCGUUAUGUAUUCUCCGUACUGUGUGUAUUUCUCGAGCUCGUAUCGAAUUUAUUCGCGCUGCUUGCACUCAGCAUCGUGCCUUUGUCUCUCUGCAACGCUCGAAUACACAUUUAUCUCGUUUCGAGUGCGAAAAUUAUUGGAAAAUUGUCGAGCGACGCGAGCGGACUAGUCCAUUAUUCGUCCAUCGAAAGGCAAUGCCUGUACGGUGCGCGUCGCGUACGAUUUACGUAUUGGGAGUGUUAUUUGGCCGGGAGUGUCGUGUGUUGUGUUUUCAUGAUCAGUAUGAUCGUAAUGAACGUGUCCUCGCGCGAGUGAACGAACAUAACCUCGGGAGUGCCGCUCUGGACACCGCGCGAUCGUCAUAUUCCAUCGAUCGAUCAGCGAUAUCAGCGGUAAUCAGUCGAUUGUCGUCCGCGCGAAUGAGUGCUACAUGGAUAAACAACGAAUAAGAGAGGAAGACAAGGCCCUAGGAGGCAUCGGGUGACAGCCGAGCAACCGUGAGAUUAUUUAAGUGAUUGUGUGUCACGACACCCCGCUGCUGAGCAUCGUAUUUCUGACUUCUUCAAUACGAGCGCAAUUAUAUAAAUACGAGCCUGAACGUGGCGUUCGAAGGCCGAAGUAACCAAAUGAGCGGCUGGCAUGGCUUUUGACAGAACAGAAUCGGAAAGGGAGCCGUUCCGUACGCCAAAACACCCGUUUCCGUCAGCAGCAACUUUCAUUCCGCAAGCUGAUUUCUGCGGUCCCGCGAAAAACGAGCAAGGAAAUUUCGGCGAUUUCAUUUCAUACGAACGCAAGGAUGGUCACGCUUGCUUUCGGCGCCGAGGUACGUGCGCGGGGUCGCGUCGCGUCCGCAUCGGUUGGUAGGUAGGUAGACACAGUCAAGUCGGGUGGAGAACGGUGGGAGGACAGCGUCGUCGACGCGUGCACCACGUAGGAUGAUAGCCAAAAGCGGCGGCGGUUGGCAGGACAGGGGAACGUGUCACGCGAUCCGUGAGUAAUUCGCACGAGCCGAGGCCCACCCGCCUGCCUGCCUGUUUAACAGAGUGUUAUAAUCUAUUUACGUUAACAUUACCAACGUUUAACGUGGUUGCUCUGCAUCCCCGGGGUCAGAGAAAGGGGUUGGUUGCGGCGGAGGUGGCGGCGGCGGCAGCGGCAGCGGCGAUGGAGGUGGAGGAGAGACGGAGGUGGAAGGUUGCUGGUCGGAGAAGGGUAUGAUGCUCUCUCUCUCUUUCUCUCUCUCUCUCUCUCUCUCUCUCUCUCUCUCUCUCUCUCUCUCUCUCUCUCUCUCUCUCUUUCUCUCUCUCUCUCUCUUUCCUCCCCUUUUUGCCUCUGCAUCAGACAGCACUCAAGAAUUGUCGCAGGCACGUUAGGGCUUUUGGAAACAAGCGUUAAUUCGUGUGGUCGCUCGCACACGCAUUAACCGCGGCUCUCUGCAUAUUCUCUGUGUGUCUUUCUCAAUAUCCCUCUCUCGCUUUCUCUUGCACGAGGUUUUGUAUCUGUUCUAUAGAUUUCUAUGCAUUUCAGAUCCAAAAUGAUGAGCUUUACGAAACUUAACAAUUAUAUAUACUGAACAGAUUGGAGAUCUGAAAUGUGAAGGGUCGAUCUGAUCAGUGCGACUUUUACAAGGAAUGAUAGCUGAGGGAGAGAGGCUCUUGAGAAGAUUAAGAUACGCGAUGUGUCGAAAAGGAAAGAACUGUUCAACAAGCUACCAAUCGUGACCCCCCUCCCCGAGAGACGUGCGAGCGAUUAAGGAGUCGAGGACGAAAAAUAGAAAUUAUGCGAUAUUAACAGCGCGAUUACGCAGCAUCCGUGGAAGUUCAAGUGGCAAGCAUUGUACGUGUCUACCGUCAGCCAACAGUUCGUUCAUGAACGGAUUACGGACACUCGAGCCGGCGGCCGGGAGGAGUACAAUCCCCUGGCCCGGCACAAGAGCAAGGGAACACGUACGUUCCGUUUGAACGAGCCUGUAGGCAAAGAGGACUCCGAGCGUGUACAUCCACGCUCGGCGUAUGCACGACAAUACGGGCUAAAUGCCCGGCUCCCAACCAAACCGCCAACUAACUGUACGAAACGUCCUGAAACUUUAGACGCGAUUAUCUGGAGGUUACGUCGUAACAAUUAUGAGGCUGCCACUCCGCGAAAUCAGGAGACGGCUAACUUGUUUGCGCGCGCCCACCUAUCGUCUUUGUGUCACAGAUAAUUUUCGUGGACGCGGGCUAAUGGACGAGCGCGGUACAACGGGACGAACUGUAACCCUCGCCGUACCACCUGCGGAGUGCGUUGUCCUAUCCACACGUAUAUUCCCCAUUUGUUCCGACAAACGAUAAUGACGAUCGUCCCGAUGACGUCCGCGAGGAGGUAAAGAGCGUAGUUGGUUACGAUUUCACUUAAUUGCAGAUUUUACGAUUAACAGUUACGUAAAAUCCGCAAAUCUGAUUGAUUAGUUUUCUUUAAAAUGUUAUGUAUCGCAACCCAAAGCAUUCUAAAAAUAUUUAAAAGUAUCACAUGUUAUUCUGUUAUUACGUAUUUAUGUUAUUGAGUAUUUGUGUAAAUUGUAAGCACAAUUCUCUUGUUAAUUUAAAAACUAUUUUUGUUUUUUGUUUCUAUGUAAAAUUGCACUUUGCAGUACUGAUUUGCAAAUUUAAUAGACAUAGCAUUGCGAAUUAAAUUUUUUUACAUAU
Monomorium pharaonis (pharaoh ant) is the source of this 3059-nucleotide long non-coding RNA. RefSeq lists it as uncharacterized. Lineage: Eukaryota; Metazoa; Arthropoda; Insecta; Hymenoptera; Formicidae. The record is from RefSeq and is a predicted model, not a curated record. The transcript is spliced from 3 exons.